RNAcentral lists this small RNA (1060 nucleotides) under Rattus norvegicus (Norway rat). RNAcentral's name for it is "uncharacterized LOC102552874". Lineage: Eukaryota; Metazoa; Chordata; Mammalia; Rodentia; Muridae. The record is from RNAcentral.
AUCCGAGGGCGCGGCCGCGCCACGGCAGGCUCGGCGUCCCUGCAGCCGGGCCUCACAGAUACGCAUGCGCUGCCCGCCUGUCGCCUGUCGCGCGGAGGCGGGGGCACUGGUUAGGAAGGUCAGCCCGACGCCGCGGGAGCCUAGGUAGUCAUCCAUCAGAAUAAUGACCAUUAAUGCGUCAUUCCGCCGGGCCGGACUGCCCUGGACGGCGCUCUAGGCAAGCCAUCCACAGCCUGAAGUGAGAUGCCAGCCAGAGACAGCCUGAGUCCGAGACACAAGGCAGAGAGAAUGAAGUACAAAUCAUAAUGGUCAUCACUCAGUGAACACACUCCCUUAAGCACCAUCCAGGAUGUUUAGCUGGUUUUUAAAGGAGAAAGAGACCGCUGAGAGAAAACACUGGAGUGGCAGCCCAGGCAGCCGUGCCUGCAGGAGGAUGCCUCCCAGCAGAACAGAGUCCUCACUUUCUGCACUUGAACUGUGUGGUAUGCCCAGAGAUAUUUUUUUUUUACUUUAUUAGAUGCUGCAAAUCAGUCAUGAAGACAUUUUUAGCUGUGCUGAUGAAUAUACAUUUGGUGGCUAAAUUUAGGCUUUUAUUUUAAACAUUUUCUCCGUUGAAACUUGAAGGUGUUGCUUAGCUACCUUCCCCCUUUUCUCAGUGUAGACUCUGAUUUAAUGUAAUUUCUUCUGCAGGUGCUAGGAACGAACAGGCUGCUGUCAGUAAGAAAAUGAACCACCCAACUGGAAACAGGCACAAGAUAUCUUACUAGAAAAGGUCUCCAGAUGGUGGGCAAGCACAAGAAUGAAUGUGUAAGUAUCUCAGAGUCUUCAGGUAUGUACCCAGGAGCAUUCAGCUGUGCCAUGUGGUAGCUAAAUUUUCAGUUUAUUGAGGAACCCCCGUCCCGAUGUCUAUAGUGGCUGUGAUGUGUUUUAUAAAGCCAAGGAUAUAUUUUUGUAGAGCGCAGUAUGGUGCGGUGAGAGGGAUUGCCUCAAAGGGAUGAAGCACCAGCCAUAUGAUGGGUUUAGUAUAGAAUAGACUUUAUUUGGGGGCUUGGGAAGGGGA